RNAcentral lists this ribosomal RNA (500 nucleotides) under uncultured Glomeromycotina. RNAcentral describes it as "partial small subunit ribosomal RNA". It matches the Rfam family "Eukaryotic small subunit ribosomal RNA", at positions 591 to 1092 of the family's 1831-position model. Lineage: Eukaryota; Fungi; Glomeromycota. The record is from RNAcentral.
CCAAUAGCGUAUAUUAAAGUUGUUGCAGUUAAAAAGCUCGUAGUUGAAUUUCGGGGUCAGUAGAUUGGUCGUGCCACUGGUAUGUACUGGUCUUACUGGCUCCUCCUUCCUGAUGAACCGUAAUGCCAUUAAUUUGGUGUUGCGGGGAGACUGGACUGUUACUUUGAAAAAAUUAGAGUGUUUAAAGCAGGCUAACGCUUGAAUACAUUAGCAUGGAAUAAUGAAAUAGGACGUUCGAUCUUAUUUUGUUGGUUUCUAAGAUUGACGUAAUGAUUAAUAGGGAUAGUUGGGGGCAUUAGUAUUCAAUUGUCAGGGGUGAAAUUCUUGGAUUUAUUGAAGACUAACUACUGCGAAAGCAUUUGCCAAGGAUGUUUUCAUUAAUCAAGAACGAAAGUUAGGGGAUCGAAGACGAUCAGAUACCGUCGUAGUCUUAACCAUAAACUAUGCCGACUAGGGAUCGGAUGAUGUUAAUUUUUUAAUGACUCAUUCGGCGCCUUACG